CGAACGACUCUGGUAUUGAUUGGUGCUUGCAUCAUGAUUUACAUUUGAGUGAGUGGCGAACUGGUGAGUAACACGUGGGAAACCUGCCCAGAAGCGGGGGAUAACACCUGGAAACAGAUGCUAAUACCGCAUAACAACUUGGACCGCAUGGUCCGAGCUUGAAAGAUGGCUUCGGCUAUCACUUUUGGAUGGUCCCGCGGCGUAUUAGCUAGAUGGUGGGGUAACGGCUCACCAUGGCAAUGAUACGUAGCCGACCUGAGAGGGUAAUCGGCCACAUUGGGACUGAGACACGGCCCAAACUCCUACGGGAGGCAGCAGUAGGGAAUCUUCCACAAUGGACGAAAGUCUGAUGGAGCAACGCCGCGUGAGUGAAGAAGGGUUUCGGCUCGUAAAACUCUGUUGUUAAAGAAGAACAUAUCUGAGAGUAACUGUUCAGGUAUUGACGGUAUUUAACCAGAAAGCCACGGCUAACUACGUGCCAGCAGCCGCGGUAAUACGUAGGUGGCAAGCGUUGUCCGGAUUUAUUGGGCGUAAAGCGAGCGCAGGCGGUUUUUUAAGUCUGAUGUGAAAGCCUUCGGCUCAACCGAAGAAGUGCAUCGGAAACUGGGAAACUUGAGUGCAGAAGAGGACAGUGGAACUCCAUGUGUAGCGGUGAAAUGCGUAGAUAUAUGGAAGAACACCAGUGGCGAAGGCGGCUGUCUGGUCUGUAACUGACGCUGAGGCUCGAAAGUAUGGGUAGCAAACAGGAUUAGAUACCCUGGUAGUCCAUACCGUAAACGAUGAAUGCUAAGUGUUGGAGGGUUUCCGCCCUUCAGUGCUGCAGCUAACGCAUUAAGCAUUCCGCCUGGGGAGUACGGCCGCAAGGCUGAAACUCAAAGGAAUUGACGGGGGCCCGCACAAGCGGUGGAGCAUGUGGUUUAAUUCGAAGCUACGCGAAGAACCUUACCAGGUCUUGACAUACUAUGCAAAUCUAAGAGAUUAGACGUUCCCUUCGGGGACAUGGAUACAGGUGGUGCAUGGUUGUCGUCAGCUCGUGUCGUGAGAUGUUGGGUUAAGUCCCGCAACGAGCGCAACCCUUAUUAUCAGUUGCCAGCAUUAAGUUGGGCACUCUGGUGAGACUGCCGGUGACAAACCGGAGGAAGGUGGGGAUGACGUCAAAUCAUCAUGCCCCUUAUGACCUGGGCUACACACGUGCUACAAUGGAUGGUACAACGAGUUGCGAACUCGCGAGAGUAAGCUAAUCUCUUAAAGCCAUUCUCAGUUCGGAUUGUAGGCUGCAACUCGCCUACAUGAAGUCGGAAUCGCUAGUAAUCGCGGAUCAGCAUGCCGCGGUGAAUACGUUCCCGGGCCUUGUACACACCGCCCGUCACACCAUGAGAGUUUGUAACACCCAAAGUCGGUGGG
This 1404-nucleotide ribosomal RNA is filed under the name Lactiplantibacillus plantarum. RNAcentral describes it as "bacterial SSU rRNA". It matches the Rfam family "Bacterial small subunit ribosomal RNA", at positions 63 to 1434 of the family's 1533-position model. The record is from RNAcentral. Lineage: Bacteria; Bacillati; Bacillota; Bacilli; Lactobacillales; Lactobacillaceae.